Long non-coding RNA from Zea mays, 1563 nucleotides. RefSeq lists it as uncharacterized. Lineage: Eukaryota; Viridiplantae; Streptophyta; Magnoliopsida; Poales; Poaceae. The transcript has 2 exons. The record is from RefSeq and is a predicted model, not a curated record.
GAUGCAUAUUUCAGUUCUUUUUCAAUAUGUACACUGAACGACAGGCCCAGUAUGGGCCGCCUCGUCCUCAACUCAGUUCUGGAUGGACAGCUCAACUACAUCAUGAGUGCUUUGCAGCUCCCUGCGGGGGCAGUGCACACCAUAGACAAGAAACGCCGUGGCUUCCUGUGGAAUGGCUCCAAUGAUGCUUCAGGAGCAAAAUGCUUGGUUCCCUGGGACGCCGUGUGCUCCCCACGCCAGUCUGGAGGCCUGGGGGUGAAGAACAUCCAUAAGCAAAACACUUGCCUGCUCCUAAAACUGCUUCACCGCCUGUACACUUCUACAACUUCCUCUUGGGCUUGCUGGGCUCGGCAACAAACAUCCCUAACAACUCUCACCGCACCUUUGAAAAGUCUACACUGGAAAUGCCUAGGGAAGUUUUUCCCCUUUAGGGCUUGUUCGGUUAUUUUCAAUCCAUAAGGAUUGGAGGGGAUUGGUAAGGAUUGAGAGAGAUUUUGACUUACUAGGGAUUGAAACCCCCUCAAUUUAUAUGUAUUGGGGUAGAACCGAACAAGCCCUUAGGUUAAGUUUGGGAACCCCGUUUUCCCAAGGGAUUUCCAUUUUCCCAAGAGAAAUUAGUUCAUUUUCCUUUGGGAAAAUAGGAAUCACUUAGAAAAAUGGAGUUCCCAGUUUGGAAACUUAAAUCCCUUCGGGAUUGAAGUGGAUUGAAGAGGAAAUUAGUUCAUUUCCAUCUCAACCUCUCCAAUCCCGAAUGGGAUUUGAGGCAAAGUAGCCCUUACCGAGCCAUAUCUACCUGUGAUGUUGGUGAUGGGCACAACACCUCCUCUGGCACUCUGACGACGACUUCGCCACCUUGUUUCAGAACCUCUUCAGCCAUGUCAGGGUUAAAGAUGUAAGCGUGCAUGACCAGCUUGAGCAGGGCCUGACCUCCUCCCUCCUAGUCCAAGGUUGUCUACUCCUGGCUUUCACUGCAGGACCAAUCUCCCUCGCAGGUAUCAAACUUCAUUUGGAGCAGCUACGCCUCACCCAGAGUCAAAUUCUUCACCUGGCUGGCAUCCCACGAUCGCCUCUAGAGCCGGAGCAACCUCUGCAAGAAGAAGAUUGUCCCUGACGAUAUCUGUGAAGUUUGCUCCUUUGGGACUGAAAAUGCAUCACACAUCCUGUUCCAUUGCGACUUUGCCCGCGCCUUGUGGUCUGCUGUGGAUGCCAAAAUAGACGCUUCCUCCCUCAGCUCCGGUAUCCAUCUGCUUCCCCGUCCAAGGGCCAUCCCCAGUGAAGCUUUCCCCACCUACAUCGCUUUGUGCUGCUGGCAUCUUUGGAAGCGGCGAAACCAGUUCGUCUUUAGAAAGGAGCUGACUUCAGUUGUCUGCACUCUACAUGCUUGCCUGGCUGAUGCCUGUCUUUGGGCGUACAAGCUAAAAACUUGUAACAAGAGUCUCACUCUGGCCUCGUGUGAAUCCUUCACGCUUGCCAUUACCCGUGUAAUCCUCUGUCUAUGUACUCCCUCAGGGCGUUUUAGCCAUGCCAUUGCAAUAUAUCAGGUGGGGGAUGUCCCCCUUCACU